UGACGUUAGCGGCGGACGGGUGAGUAACACGUGGAUAACCUACCUAUAAGACUGGGAUAAUUUCGGGAAACCGGAGCUAAUACCGGAUAAUAUAUUGAACCGCAUGGUUCAAUAGUGAAAGACGGUUUUGCUGUCACUUAUAGAUGGAUCCGCGCCGCAUUAGCUAGUUGGUAAGGUAACGGCUUACCAAGGCAACGAUGCGUAGCCGACCUGAGAGGGUGGUCGGCCACACUGGAACUGAGACACGGUCCAGACUCCUACGGGAGGCAGCAGUAGGGAAUCUUCCGCAAUGGGCGAAAGCCUGACGGAGCAACGCCGCGUGAGUGAUGAAGGUCUUCGGAUCGUAAAACUCUGUUAUUAGGGAAGAACAAAUGUGUAAGUAACUAUGCACGUCUUGACGGUACCUAAUCAGAAAGCCACGGCUAACUACGUGCCAGCAGCCGCGGUAAUACGUAGGUGGCAAGCGUUAUCCGGAAUUAUUGGGCGUAAAGCGCGCGUAGGCGGUUUUUUAAGUCUGAUGUGAAAGCCCACGGCUCAACCGUGGAGGGUCAUUGGAAACUGGAAAACUUGAGUGCAGAAGAGGAAAGUGGAAUUCCAUGUGUAGCGGUGAAAUGCGCAGAGAUAUGGAGGAACACCAGUGGCGAAGGCGACUUUCUGGUCUGUAACUGACGCUGAUGUGCGAAAGCGUGGGGAUCAAACAGGAUUAGAUACCUGGUAGUCCACGCCGUAAACGAUGAGUGCUAAGUGUUAGGGGGUUUCCGCCCCUUAGUGCUGCAGCUAACGCAUUAAGCACUCCGCCUGGGGAGUACGACCG
This 814-nucleotide ribosomal RNA is filed under the name uncultured Staphylococcus sp. Its description in RNAcentral is "bacterial SSU rRNA". It matches the Rfam family "Bacterial small subunit ribosomal RNA", at positions 87 to 888 of the family's 1533-position model. Lineage: Bacteria; Bacillati; Bacillota; Bacilli; Caryophanales; Staphylococcaceae. The record is from RNAcentral.